This is a long non-coding RNA of Alosa sapidissima (American shad), 1438 nucleotides long. RefSeq lists it as uncharacterized. Lineage: Eukaryota; Metazoa; Chordata; Actinopteri; Clupeiformes; Clupeidae. The record is from RefSeq and is a predicted model, not a curated record. The transcript has 2 exons.
UGCAGGCGGGCUGGCGCAUGUCCAUUCAGACGUUCACGCGGUCUUCUUUCUCUGCCUUUCAUCGCCACGGUCAGAGCGUUGCAUUUUAUUUUGAUGCCAAGUUUUCUUGUUCAUUUUUUUUUUGCUGCCCUCAUAUGGGCUUCUUUUUGGUCAUCGAGAUUUUUUCUUCUUAAGAGAGAAAAACUGAGUUUCUUCUGUCCCACUUGAACGAGAGACAAGGAAACACCGGCAUUUCUUUCCUUUCAUCUUUUCCUUUCCUCUUCCUUUUUUCAGCCUCUCCUCUCUCUCUCUCUCUCUCUCUCUCUCUCUCUCUCUCCUCCUCCUCCUCUCUCCUCUCUUUUCCUGUCCUCUCUGCAUCCUUAAACUCAAAUGCUGAAUCAGCUGGAGACGAACGGAUGCGCUGCACCCCCUCUCAUCCACCCAUCGUCAUCCCCCCACACCACCCCUCACCCUUCCUGAUUCACACAAACCGUCGCACCCCAUGGACGCAGCGCCAUCAGUCCAUCAUGUUGAAAUCCCCCUUUCCUGGGCUCAAAGCCAGCCAUGCAUCUCUCGAGCCCCCACCUCCUCCACCUCCUCCACCUCGCAGCCACCCAGACUCAAAAAUGCUUUGCUAAAGCUGGUAAAAUGGAACCAAAUCAACUGUUCAAUGGAUUUGGUCCCCUUCAACCAGCUGUAGCUGCGCAUUGAUCACCCCAGAUGUACCAUCGGGUUGGAACCAGCCAAACACUGAGAGCUCACUGGCCCACAGGAACAGUUCUGAUCAGCGUUCUGAUCAGCGUUGGUCCACUGAACAGAAGGAGCGGGCCGUGGACGCAACCUACUGAUUCAGGAAAUAGAUCAACGGCUGCGGCCAAGCGGAGAAAUUGCAAUCCCCCUCAAGCGAUCAAAAUAGCCCUAGUCCGCAUCGACAUGACACGAUACAACAGUCAUUCUCGCCACUAACACGGUGCAGCUUUUGUCCUAGACACAGCUCUCUAUGUAACCCUUGCAGGUGAGUGUCGGCUUUGUUUCAUUAAUUGAUGCCAGUGUUCAUACACACACACACACACACACACACACACACACACACACACACACACACACACACACACACACACGCACACACACUGGACUGUCUCCAUGUCUUGUAUGUAUUCACCCACCAUCAGUACUAUUGGAUUAGGGUCUUAUCAUUCUUUAUGGCGAAAGAUUGAUUUUUUGUCAGCCAGGAAAAGAGGGGGAUGUGCUUGUAUAUAUCAGCAUGUGUAUAUGUGUAUAUGUGUGUGUGUGUGUGUGUGUGUGUGUGUGUGUGUGUGUGUGUGUGUGUGUGUAUGGUGGGGUUGGGGGAUGGGGAUUGGCUGCAUAAGUAAAGAAGUCAUUACUUUUUUUACCCCCACUUGCUGUGAUUCUUAAUGCAGGAGUGUGAUCAAUAAAAGCUCAUCCUGAAGUUCAUAAA